AGAGUUUGAUCAUGGCUCAGGAUGAAUGCUGGCGGCGUGCCUUAAGCAUGCAAGUCGAACGGUUUCCGCAAGGAAGCAGUGGCAGACGGGUGAGUAACGCGUAGGAAUCUACCUCCGGGUGGAACAUAGCCCCGCGAAAGCGGGGGUAAUUUUUCAUAGUCCCGCAAGGGUAAAGGUCUUAACUGACCGCCGGGAGAGGAGCCUGCGUCCUAUCAGCUAGUUGGUGAGAUAAAAGCCCACCAAGGCGAUGACGGGUAGCUGGACUGAGAGGUUGGAACACCUCCUU
Molecule: ribosomal RNA, 286 nt
Filed under: uncultured Mitsuokella sp.
Lineage: Bacteria; Bacillati; Bacillota; Negativicutes; Selenomonadales; Selenomonadaceae
Description: partial 16S ribosomal RNA
Rfam family: Bacterial small subunit ribosomal RNA
Source: RNAcentral